CGGGACGGGUGAGUAACGCGUGGAAAACCUGCCGUAUACUGGAGGAUAACACUUAGAAAUAGGUGCUAAUACCGCAUAAGCGCACAGCUUCGCAUGAAGCGGUGUGAAAAACUCUGGUGGUAUACGAUGGUUCCGCGUCUGAUUAGCUAGUUGGUGGGGUAAUGGCCUACCAAGGCAACGAUCAGUAGCCGGCCUGAGAGGGUGAACGGCCACAUUGGGACUGAGACACGGCCCAAACUCCUACGGAAGGCAGCAG
This 256-nucleotide ribosomal RNA is filed under the name uncultured bacterium. Its description in RNAcentral is "partial 16S ribosomal RNA". It matches the Rfam family "Bacterial small subunit ribosomal RNA", at positions 98 to 354 of the family's 1533-position model. The record is from RNAcentral.